RNAcentral lists this long non-coding RNA (504 nucleotides) under Homo sapiens (human). Its description in RNAcentral is "non-protein coding lnc-ATG14-2:1". Lineage: Eukaryota; Metazoa; Chordata; Mammalia; Primates; Hominidae. The record is from RNAcentral.
AUGACGAACACAAAGGGAAAGAGGUGAGGCACCUGAUACAUGUUCUCUAGGCCUUUUAGAAAAGAUGGAGUUGUUCCUUUGGCCACAUACAUGCGAAUCUACGAAAAAGGUGAUAUUGUAGACAUCAAGGGAAUGGCUGCUUUUCAAAAAGGAGUGCUCCGCAAAUGUUACCACAGCAAAGCUGGAAGAGUCUACAGUGUUACCCAGCAUGCUGUUGGCAUUGUAAACAAGGGCAAGAUUUUUGCCAAGAGAAUGAAUGUGCUUACUGAGCCAGGCUGGUCUUGAACUCCUGACCUCAGUUGAUCCAUCUGCCUGGGCCUUGGCACUCUAAGAGCCAAGUAAGUUUCCUGAAACGCGUGAAGGUAAAUAAUCAGAAAAAGACGUCAAAGGGAGAGGUGUCUGAGUUCAACUGAAGCGCCAGCCUGCUCCACCCAGACAAGCACUUAGAACCAAUGGAGGGAGCCUGGGCUGCUGGAACCUAUUCCCUAUGAGUUCAUGGCAUAA